GUUAUGGCUCAGUGGUAGAGGGCUCGCCUUGCACAUGCAAGACCCUGGGUUUGAUCCUCAGCGUCACA
RNAcentral lists this transfer RNA (68 nucleotides) under Marmota monax (woodchuck). RNAcentral's name for it is "tRNA.Ala". The record is from RNAcentral. Lineage: Eukaryota; Metazoa; Chordata; Mammalia; Rodentia; Sciuridae.